AGCGAACGCUGGCGGCAGGCUUAACACAUGCAAGUCGAGCGGGCAUCCUUGUGGUGUCAGCGGCAGACGGGUGAGUAACGCGUGGGAACGUGGCCUUCGGUUCGGAAUAACUCAGGGAAACUUGAGCUAAUACCGGAUACGUGCGAGAGCAGAAAGGUUUAUCUGCCGAAGGAUCGGCCCGCGUCUGAUUAGCUAGUUGGUGAGGUUACGGCUCACCAAGGCGACGAUCAGUAGCUGGUCUGAGAGGAUGAUCAGCCACACUGGGACUGAGACACGGCCCAGACUCCUACGGGAGGCAGCAGUGGGGAAUAUUGGACAAUGGGGGCAACCCUGAUCCAGCCAUGCCGCGUGAGUGAUGACGGCCUUAGGGUUGUAAAGCUCUUUUCUCCGGGACGAUAAUGACGGUACCGGAGGAAUAAGCCCCGGCUAACUUCGUG
Molecule: ribosomal RNA, 437 nt
Filed under: uncultured bacterium
Lineage: Bacteria
Description: partial 16S ribosomal RNA
Rfam family: Bacterial small subunit ribosomal RNA
Source: RNAcentral